Molecule: ribosomal RNA, 215 nt
Filed under: uncultured bacterium
Lineage: Bacteria
Description: partial 16S ribosomal RNA
Rfam family: Bacterial small subunit ribosomal RNA
Source: RNAcentral
GACGAACGCUGGCGGCGUGCUUAACACAUGCAAGUCGAGCGGUAAGGCCCUUUCGGGGUACACGAGCGGCGAACGGGUGAGUAACACGUGGGUGACCUGCCCUCAGCUCUGGGAUAAGCCUGGGAAACCGGGUCUAAUACCGGAUAUGACUCCAUGACGCAUGUUGUGGGGUGGAAAGCCUUGUGCGGCUGAGGAUGGGCCCGCGGCCUAUCAGC